Molecule: ribosomal RNA, 254 nt
Filed under: uncultured bacterium
Lineage: Bacteria
Description: partial 16S ribosomal RNA
Rfam family: Bacterial small subunit ribosomal RNA
Source: RNAcentral
UACGUAGGGGUGCAAGCGUUGUCCGGAAUUAUUGGGCGUAAAGAGCUCGUAGGCGGCUUGUCGCGUCGGCUGUGAAAACCUGAGGCUCAACCUCGGGCUUGCAGCCGAUACGGGCAAGCUAGAAUUCGGUAGGGGAGACUGGAAUUCCUGGUGUAGCGGUGAAAUGCGCAGAUAUCAGGAGGAACACCGGUGGCGAAGGCGGGUCUCUGGGCCGAUAUUGACGCUGAGGAGCGAAAGCGUGGGGAGCAAACAGG